AACAGGACGUCACAGAGGGUGAGAAUCCCGUACGUGGUCGCUAGCUAUUGCCGUGUAAAGCCUCUUCGACGAGUCGAGUUGUUUGGGAAUGCAGCUCUAAAUGGGAGGUAAAUUUCUUCUAAAGCUAAAUACUGGCCAGAGACCGAUAGCGCACAAGUAGAGUGAUCGAAAGAUGAAAAGCACUUUGGAAAGAGAGUCAAACAGCACGUGAAAUUGUUGAAAGGGAAGCGCUUGCAGCCAGACUUGCUUGCAGUUGCUCACCCGGGCCUCUGUGCCCGGUGCAUUCUUCUGCAGGCAGGCCAGCAUCAGUUUGGGCGGUGGGAUAAAGGUCUCUGUCACGUACCUCUCUUCGGGGAGGCCUUAUAGGGGAGACGACAUACCACCAGCCUGGACUGAGGUCCGCGCAUUUAUGCUAGGAUGCUGGCGUAAUGGCUGUAAGCGGCCCGUCUUGAAACACGGACCAAGGAGUCUAACAUCUAUGCGAGUGUUUGGGUGUCAAGCCCGAACGCGUAAUGAAAGUGAACGGAGGUGGGAACCCGCAAGGGUGCACCAUCGACCGAUCCUGAUGUCUUCGGAAGGAUUUGAGUAAGAGCAUGGCUGUUGGGACCCGAAAGAUGGUGAACUAUGCUUGAAUAGGGUGAAGCCAGAGGAAACUCUGGUGGAGGCUCGCAGCGGUUCUGACGUGCAAAUCGAUCGUCAAAUUUGGGCAUAGGGGCGAAAGACUAAU
RNAcentral lists this ribosomal RNA (727 nucleotides) under Pyrenophora tritici-repentis. RNAcentral describes it as "eukaryotic LSU rRNA". It matches the Rfam family "Eukaryotic large subunit ribosomal RNA", at positions 194 to 935 of the family's 3401-position model. The record is from RNAcentral. Lineage: Eukaryota; Fungi; Ascomycota; Dothideomycetes; Pleosporales; Pleosporaceae.